RNAcentral lists this ribosomal RNA (380 nucleotides) under Arabidopsis thaliana (thale cress). Lineage: Eukaryota; Viridiplantae; Streptophyta; Magnoliopsida; Brassicales; Brassicaceae. The record is from RNAcentral.
UUUUCCGGUUUUUCCUCUUUUUUUUAUUGUUAACAAUGUAUGACUCUGAAACUUUUAGACCAUGAGGCCAAACUUGGCAUGUGAUACCUUUUCGGAAAUCCCAAAGAGAGCUCUCCGAUGAAUUAGGAAGGAAAAUGGAAUUCUUCUAUAGUUUUUUUUUCUACUCCAAAUUUUGAACCUUAAUUGUACUUUUCGGGCCUUUUCUUAAUCUUUGCUAUAUUACGGGGCGAAAAUUAUAUGUUCGGACAUUGUUUUCGAAUAUGCAUGUAUAAAAACCUCUUAUAAACAAGAUAGUCUAUUCCUACAUAGGUGGUGCGACCCACGGCAAAUGGAUCAUAAAGUCUUCAAAAAAGAAUAAUACGAUUGCAUUGCAUGUAGUA